GUGUCAGGUUACAUUGAUUGUCAUGUGUCUGAUUCGAUUGAACAUUGACAACAACAAUACAUUUUCAUCGUCCAAUCAGAACGCGACACGUGAUAGUCAACGUUU
Non-coding RNA from Glycine soja, 105 nucleotides. The record is from Rfam. NCBI's taxonomy places the organism in Eukaryota, Viridiplantae, Streptophyta, Magnoliopsida, Fabales, Fabaceae.